UACGUAGGGUGCGAGCGUUGUCCGGAAUUACUGGGCGUAAAGAGCUCGUAGGUGGUUUGUCGCGUUGUCCGUGAAAACUCACAACUCAAUUGCGGGCGUGCGGGCGAUACGGGCAGACUGGAGUACUGCAGGGGAGACUGGAAUUCCUGGUGUAGCGGUGGAAUGCGCAGAUAUCAGGAGGAACACCGGUGGCGAAGGCGGGUCUCUGGGCAGUAACUGACGCUGAGGAGCGAAAGCGUGGGGAGCGAACAGG
RNAcentral lists this ribosomal RNA (253 nucleotides) under uncultured bacterium. RNAcentral describes it as "partial 16S ribosomal RNA". It matches the Rfam family "Bacterial small subunit ribosomal RNA", at positions 524 to 776 of the family's 1533-position model. The record is from RNAcentral.